GAUGAACGCUGGCGGCGUGCCUAAUACAUGCGAGUCGAGCGAACAGACGAGGAGCUUGCUCCUCUGACGUUAGCGGCGGACGGGUGAGUAACACGUGUAUAACCUACCUAUAAGACUGGGAUAACUUCGGGAAACCGGAGCUAAUACCGGAUAAUAUAUUGAACCGCAUUGUUCAAUAGUGAAAGUCGGUUUUGCUGUCACUACUAGAUGGUUCCGCGCCGCAUUAGCUAGUUGGUAAGGUAACGGCUUACCAAGGCAACGAUGCGUAGCCGACCUGAGAGAGUGAUCGGCCACACUGGAACUGAAACACGGUCCAGACUCCUACGAGAGGCAGCAGUAGGGAAUCUUCCGCAAUGGGCGAAAGCAUGACGGAGCAACGCCGAGUGAGUGAUGAAAGUCUUCGGAUCGUAAAACUCUGUUAUUAGGGAAGAACAAAUGUGUAAGUAACUAUGCACGUCUUGACGGUACCUAAUCAGAAAGCCACGGCUAACUACGUG
This 497-nucleotide ribosomal RNA is filed under the name uncultured bacterium. Its description in RNAcentral is "partial 16S ribosomal RNA". It matches the Rfam family "Bacterial small subunit ribosomal RNA", at positions 28 to 507 of the family's 1533-position model. The record is from RNAcentral.